UACGAAGGGGGCUAGCGUUGCUCGGAAUCACUGGGCGUAAAGGGUGCGUAGGCGGGUCUUUAAGUCAGGGGGGAAAUCCUGGAGCUCAACUCCAGAACUGCCUUUGAUACUGGGAGUCUUGAGUUCGGGAGAGGUGAGUGGAACUGCGAGUGUAGAGGUGAAAUUCGUAGAUAUUCGCAAGAACACCAGUGGCGAAGGCGGCUCACUGGCCCGAUACUGACGCUGAGGUGCGAAAGCGUGGGGAGCAAACAGG
Molecule: ribosomal RNA, 253 nt
Filed under: uncultured bacterium
Lineage: Bacteria
Description: partial 16S ribosomal RNA
Rfam family: Bacterial small subunit ribosomal RNA
Source: RNAcentral